UUUAAAAAUUACAUUUAUGAGACCACUGGAAAUUUGAAGACUGAGUUCUCUAAAUUCAGCUAAUCAGCAGAAACCAGUGCCAAAGAUUGUUCUAAGAAUAUAACCCCAUAACGACUUUGCAGAAAUCUUGAGAGGGCAUUGGACUUCCAAGAUUCAUGGGAGGGAUGCUGUAGUUCCAAAGCUUAUGUCAAGCUCCUUCCACCCAUGGGCCCCAAUACCUGCAUCAGUCAUCCUCUAUCAACCUAAGUGACCACAUAACUGAUUUGACAAAGUAGGGGCUCUGCCUUCCUGGGGCUCGGGUCUGUACUCCUAACCCUGUCAUUACUCACUACGUGACUUAUGACCAGACAUUCAAUUUAUUUGGACUUCAGUUCUUACAUUUGUAAAAUGAGAAUAGCUUCUAGUUCUAAAAAUGAUUAUGAUUCUAUCCUAGCUCUUGGUAUUGUGAGUUGGUGUUGGGUGACCAGCUGUGAGCAGGAUGAAACUCAAAGACGGCUCUGCAGGUGGUGUGUCCUCUCGUCUUGGCAUCUCCAGAGAGGCGUGCUUUGGCCAGAGCAGAAACAGACACGCUCAGGUGCAGUGAUCCAAGGGGAGAUCCCACUUCCUGUUGUUCUUCGUUUUUAUGGGAGCUGGCCGAUAAGAAGAGGGCAACCUCACACAGGAUAAAAAGCAAGACAUCUCCCUUCAUACACUUUGUCUCAGGUGGUCCCGCAUCCCUCCCCAGAGAUAAUCCACGAGAGAAGAAGUGUGAGCGGUUCCUCCUCCUUUGUGUUUCAGAAUUGUUCUCCUGCUUCAGAAUUAUUCUGUUGUACAGCUCAUCUUAUUCUUCUAGCUUUUCAUCUCUUUGAAUACCAUUGCGGAACACAGAGCAAGCAGUGGAG
RNAcentral lists this long non-coding RNA (881 nucleotides) under Equus caballus (horse). Its description in RNAcentral is "lncRNA (ENSECAG00000041165.2)". The record is from RNAcentral. Lineage: Eukaryota; Metazoa; Chordata; Mammalia; Perissodactyla; Equidae.